AAGCUCGUAGUUGAAUUUCGGGGUUAGUAGGUUGGUCAUGCCUCUGGUAUGUACUGGUCUCACUGAUUCCUCCUUCCUGAUGAACCUUAAUGCCAUUAAUUUGGUGUUUUGGGGAAUUUGGACUGUUACUUUGAAAAAAUUAGAGUGUUUAAAGCAAGCUAACGCUUGAAUACAUUAGCAUGGAAUAAUGAAAUAGGACGUUCGAUCCUAUUUUGUUGGUUUCUAGGAUUGACGUAAUGAUUAAUAGGGAUAGUUGGG
This 258-nucleotide ribosomal RNA is filed under the name uncultured Glomus. RNAcentral describes it as "partial 18S ribosomal RNA". It matches the Rfam family "Eukaryotic small subunit ribosomal RNA", at positions 624 to 886 of the family's 1831-position model. The record is from RNAcentral. Lineage: Eukaryota; Fungi; Glomeromycota; Glomeromycetes; Glomerales; Glomeraceae.